UACGUAGGGCGCGAGCGUUGUCCGGAUUCAUUGGGCGUAAAGAGCUCGUAGGCGGCUUGGCAAGUCGGGUGUGAAAACUCCAGGCUCAACCUGGAGACGCCACCUGAUACUGCCAUGGCUAGAGUCCGGUAGGGGACCACGGAAUUCCUGGUGUAGCGGUGAAAUGCGCAGAUAUCAGGAGGAACACCGGUGGCGAAGGCGGGUCUCUGGGCAAUAACUGACGCUGAGGAGCGAAAGCGUGGGGAGCGAACAGG
Molecule: ribosomal RNA, 254 nt
Filed under: uncultured bacterium
Lineage: Bacteria
Description: partial 16S ribosomal RNA
Rfam family: Bacterial small subunit ribosomal RNA
Source: RNAcentral